GGAUGUGAGGGUGAUCUGGCUGUGAUCACCAGGGUUGAUUUUGCUAAUCUGUCUGGCUAGGCAGGUGUCCCCCUUGCUCCCUCACUGCUCCAUAUACAUUGUUCCCAAAGCUGCUAAACGGGGAGACCACGUCUCAUAUUGUCUUCUGCCUAUUCUGCCUCAAAGGAAAGAGAAAGUG
Molecule: small nuclear RNA, 178 nt
Filed under: Nomascus leucogenys (northern white-cheeked gibbon)
Lineage: Eukaryota; Metazoa; Chordata; Mammalia; Primates; Hylobatidae
Description: 7SK RNA
Rfam family: 7SK RNA (bases 1-91)
About the family: 7SK was discovered as an abundant small nuclear RNA in the mid-70s but a possible function has only recently been suggested. Two independent studies have found that 7SK RNA binds the CDK9/cyclin T complex (known as elongation factor P-TEFb).
Source: Rfam by way of RNAcentral